GCCCUGACUGGGGCAGUCAGCACCAUUAAGUGCUUCCUCUCUGAGGCUUUCCUGGGUCAACACUUCGAGGCUGUGUAGUUGGAGGGCAGGGAGCCUGAGCCAGGAGACCUCUUCCUGUUCAGGCUGAUGUCCCCCACCUGACGCUGGUGCGGGGCCCACGUGGGCGUAUACUGUGGCCAUGGAGAGAUCAUCCACUUUGAGGUUUCUGGGCUCCUGGAAAGGCAUCGUAUCCAAACAGGGGCAGCGCCCGCUGCUACGCUCCCGCUGGCGCGUGCUGCGCAGAGUGAGCGAAGCGAUGGACGCGGACCCACCAUCCUAUCACUCCACGCGCAGCAACUGUGUGCACUUUGCACUG
Molecule: small RNA, 355 nt
Filed under: Pongo abelii (Sumatran orangutan)
Lineage: Eukaryota; Metazoa; Chordata; Mammalia; Primates; Hominidae
Description: transcribed unitary pseudogene
Source: RNAcentral